GAUAAUUUAUUUAUUGCCUAAUACAUUCAUUUGCCAGCUGAAUACAAAUAGAGCUUUCACUAAUAAAUCCAACUGCCAGCUUGUUUUUGCCUCAAUCAAAUCCAAUGUCCCUACAGUAAACCAAAGAUAAACUACUGUCCUGGCAUUGAUAGUGACAUAAAUGAAUACCAUUUCCCAGUUCCAAUCGGGAAAAGGACUGGAUGCUUAGCUUAACAUAAAGCAACCAAAGACGAGAAUUAUCAACACAGAGAUAAACAACCUUAUAUAUGAACAAUUUGUCAAAAGGGACCACUAACAUAAACCUCCAAGCCUCCAAAUGUCAGUUAUGCUAAUAAAUUCCCUGUACUUCUACAGUAACACGUUAGUUGGGGAUAACUCGAAUCCUAUCCUGCGCACGCCCAGUGUCAUUUAUACACUGGGUCGUAAGAUGCACGAUUGGAACCCUGUACCAAGCGAUGCUAAAUAGCAAAUACAUUCUGUAAAUGUCUAUCUUAGCACGUUAGUCCUACGCCCAGUGUAGAUACACACACAGCCAUAAGAUGCACGAUGGAGACACUUGAAACCAAGUGAUGCUAAAUAC
This 580-nucleotide long non-coding RNA is filed under the name Olea europaea (common olive). Its description in RNAcentral is "long non-coding RNA (OEUR_LNC010332)". Lineage: Eukaryota; Viridiplantae; Streptophyta; Magnoliopsida; Lamiales; Oleaceae. The record is from RNAcentral.